AUCACUUUUGGCCUUUUGUAUUAAAUCAAGUGUAGUGUCUGUUCUUACCAGUUUAAUAUAUGGUAUGUCCUCCAUCUGAGGACAUAUUAAAUGGAUUUUUGGAGCUGGGAGAUGGAAUAGGAGCUUGCUCCGUCCACUCUGCGCAUUGACCCGGUAUUGGAGUACUUAUGGGAGUGGUGCACACACA
Molecule: small nuclear RNA, 187 nt
Organism: Phyllostomus hastatus (greater spear-nosed bat)
Lineage: Eukaryota; Metazoa; Chordata; Mammalia; Chiroptera; Phyllostomidae
Product: U2 spliceosomal RNA
Exons: 1
Source: RefSeq, a predicted model, not a curated record